RNAcentral lists this transfer RNA (73 nucleotides) under Camelus bactrianus (Bactrian camel). It matches the Rfam family "tRNA". From Rfam's summary of the family: Transfer RNA (tRNA) molecules are approximately 80 nucleotides in length. Lineage: Eukaryota; Metazoa; Chordata; Mammalia; Artiodactyla; Camelidae. RNAcentral also lists the same sequence under 1 other name. The record is from Rfam by way of RNAcentral.
GAGGGUAUAGCUCAAGCAGUAGAGUGCAUGCUUAGCAUGGACAAGGUCCUGGGUUCAAUUCCCAGUACCUCCA